AUAACUCAGAAAACACACCAGUGUCUACACAAGGAGCCCAGAGGCACCUUACCCCUUGUCUGACUUUCCUGAGGUCCUGAUGGCAACUCUGGAUAGGCAAGCUGUUGAUCUGGAUCUUGAUAUGAACCUUGCACUUUGGUGACAGCAGAAGCCACCUUGUCUGACUGUCAGCACAGAUAACAAGUGGAGGAAUUAAUCAUCUCAGGGACUGUAACUCCAUGAUAAUUACAUACAAAUGCAAAAAUAAAUCACAGCUUGUGUGAAUCAACACAGACAGGUGAUUGAGAGCAACCAAAAAAACCACAGCUGAAAUACAAAGAGUAAAUUCAUUCCAUUGCCUUGCUGGAUGAAGGAGCCCAAAGUGUUGGGCUGCAGAGACACGCUACACAGGGACACAGGAUCAAAAAUACCCAUAUUCUCCUUCAGAGCUGUGUUUUUCUUGUACUUGACUGGUUUGCCUUUACCAAGCAGACUGCAGAAAGGCCAGGAGAGGAGUGCAAGGAAGAAAGGGCAAGGUGGGAUGGUGCAGAAAUGGUUGCAAGUGGCAACUCCUGGGGACCUAGCAUCUCAUCAGGAUACCAAGGCUUGUUACAGAGUAGAAAUCAGGAAUCAGAAGUUCAGCCCUCAUGACGGAUUGUGUUAAAAGAUAAAAAGGCUGAUUCCUGUACAACUAAGAGAGACAGCAGCCCAGGGAUCAGGGAAGAGCUUUUGAAGUCUAGACAGGAGCUCUUAUCCCUGCUCUGCCACUCUUGGGUGACCCUAGUGAAGUGUUGAUUUGCUAAUCUUCAGCUGGGCAAGCUUGCCGCAGUAUUUACUGUUAAAUAUCUGCAGACAAGAAGAGCACAACAUAGCAAUAACUCCCAAAUUAAACCCUGCAGUGUUCACAGGGGUUCAUCCCUCAGCUUUGCACUGAUUUUCAGAGAUGAGCUGUCCCAUGCUACAAGAGAGGCAGAACAUGGGGCAAGACUCAGCAACACAUAUAGCACAGCCUGAGGGAUGCUUAUGCUAUUAAUCAUGAGCUUGAGCCAAAUAAGCCCCAUUUUCACGAGGUGCAUUUGCUGGAAAAGCAAAAGCCACUGCAGUAGCCAAGCAAGGUCACACGUUUCAGAAUCUACUGCAGUGUCUGGGCUUCCUGGAAGACUCAUAAAAGCCAUCAUCCAGAUACAGAAAAUAUUGUUUAAUGGAGCAAAAGGUUAUCAGUGGUCCUCAGUGUGCAGUUGAUAGGGAGCAUGGCUUGUUGCAGGCCAGUGAGAUGCCCCUAAGAGUGGACCACUGAGGCCUGGCGCAGGAGGGCUGCUGAAGUGACCACAGAGGUCAGUUCAGGCUCAUCAGCUCCAUGGUACCAGCCACACUGGGAGAGUAAGAAAUCCCUCCCUUUUCUGGAGCUGGAUCCUCUCCUAAUGGUAAUGGGACACUCAGAAAGAAAGCAUUUACUUAGAAAAACAUCAUCAUCUGUCUGAGCCAUGGCAGUAAUAAAGCUUCUGUUGCCAGAAUUCACUUACAUUGAGUGAUGAUUCUUAGAGCAUUUUUCCUGUGAAUUCCCCUGGUACGUUAA
Zonotrichia leucophrys gambelii is the source of this 1555-nucleotide long non-coding RNA. RefSeq lists it as uncharacterized. The record is from RefSeq and is a predicted model, not a curated record. NCBI's taxonomy places the organism in Eukaryota, Metazoa, Chordata, Aves, Passeriformes, Passerellidae. The transcript is spliced from 3 exons.